RNAcentral lists this long non-coding RNA (327 nucleotides) under Olea europaea (common olive). RNAcentral's name for it is "long non-coding RNA (OEUR_LNC015272)". Lineage: Eukaryota; Viridiplantae; Streptophyta; Magnoliopsida; Lamiales; Oleaceae. The record is from RNAcentral.
AACAUUUUACUUUUGAGAGUAUGAUGUGCAAAGCAAGUGUUUAGCAUCAAUGAAGCCAGGAGACAAUUAAGCUAUGUUAGACUAGUUUAGAGGUAGACAAUACUUAUCAGAUAGCUAAUUUAUCCUUCUUUAGCCAACUGACGAGACUCUGUGCUCUUUCCCAAUCCUACUCCUCUCAAAGAAGUGUCUACAAAUUAAACAGGGUUCUUAUGGGUACUAAUAAAGACCUAGAACAGACCCAGAAAACACCUAGCAGCAAGGGUUUGUUUUGCUUGCAAGAUGCAGAAUUGAUACUAAUUCAACACCAUCACGUGGUUGGAUGGACUU